GCGGCUUUUGAGGAUGUCUUUUGUCCGCAUCGUUAUGCCCUCCAUUGCACAAGUGUCUUGGAGAGGAAACAAAGACUAGUC
This 81-nucleotide telomerase RNA is filed under the name Pyrenochaeta sp. DS3sAY3a. RNAcentral's name for it is "Ascomycota telomerase RNA". It matches the Rfam family "Ascomycota telomerase RNA", at positions 1285 to 1381 of the family's 1858-position model. Lineage: Eukaryota; Fungi; Ascomycota; Dothideomycetes; Pleosporales; Cucurbitariaceae. The record is from Rfam by way of RNAcentral.